RNAcentral lists this long non-coding RNA (985 nucleotides) under Homo sapiens (human). RNAcentral describes it as "HSALNT0148570". The record is from RNAcentral. Lineage: Eukaryota; Metazoa; Chordata; Mammalia; Primates; Hominidae.
GCUAUUUUUGGCUUCUGGACUACUCCCAGAUCCCAGAGAAGUAAUUUGAAUCAACACAUUUGUUGAAAAGAGUCCUCACCAGAAAAUCAUUAAUGCUCUUGGAGAAGAGAGGGGAGUAAGGAAGGUGUGACAAAACUGAUGCAAGGGUCAAGGGCACAAUCCUCUUUUCUUUUUCUUUUGGAAGAUAUUGUUCAUUCCUGGGCUCUGUCCUAGAUACCAGUGGCCUCUCAUGAGCCAUCAGAGUAAUGCGAAAACUGAGAUAAGUCCAGGAGGAUCAAAUAAAUUGUAUUAAUCACCUGACCUGGUUUAACCAAGCAUGCAGCCAAGUGGCAGCCAUCACUUGUUUUCCACUAAAGAAUCCCUGAGGCCACGUAAUAGUCAGAGGAAGACAGAAAUAAUGCCCAUCAGGGGACAUCUAAGAAUCACCCACAUGAUUGUGAGGAAUUCCAAGUCGGCUCCAAAUAGUGAUCAGUCUAGAAGUCCAGUUAAAAGGAUCAGCAGAAUAGAAAAUUUCUGACAUAAACUUUUAACCCCAUAGAAACAAACUAACAAUUAAAAUAAGAUCCUAGCACUUUGGGAGGCCAAGGCGGGUGGAUCCACUGAGGUCAGGAGUUCGAGACCAGCCUGGCCAACAUGGUGAAACCCCCAUCUCUACUAAAAAUACAAAAAUUAGCCGGGCGUGGUGGUGCGUGCCUGUGCUCUCAGCUACCCGUGAGGCUGAGUCAGGAGAAUCGCUGGAACCCAGGAGGUGGAGACUGCAGUGAGCUGAGAUCGUGCCACUGCACUCCAGCCUGGGCGGCAGAGUGAGACUCCAUCUCAAAAACUUAAAAAAUAAACAGCCUUUGCUGAAAAUCAGUUAACGUGGGAAGAUGGUGAAAAUGUUAAAGAAAAUUCUCAGUAGUUUUGUCAAUGGAAUUAAAGAGACUUUUGAAUCAAUAAAACAAGAGUUGCCUAUAAAAAGAGGCUAGGAGAAAAGAUAUCUGAG